UUCGGGACGCCGGCGAGUGGCGAACGGGUGAGUAACACGUGGAGGCCUGCCCUGGGGUGGGGGAUAACAACUGGAAACGGUUGCUAAUACCGCAUACGCCUUACGAGGGAAAGAUUUAUUGCCCUGGGAGGGUUCCGCGUCGGAUUAGCUUGUUGGUGGGGUAACGGCCUACCAAGGCGACGAUCCGUAGCUGGUCUUAGAGGAUGAUCAGCCACACUGGAACUGAGACACGGUCCAGACUCCUACGGGAGGCAGCAGUGGGGAAUAUUGCGCAAUGGGGGAAACCCUGACGCAGCGAUGCCGCGUGGGUGAAUAAGGCCUUAGGGUUGUAAAGCCCUUUCAGUGGGAACGAUGAUGACGGUACCCACAGAAGAAGCCCCGGCUAACUCCGUGCCAGCAGCCGCGGUAAUACGGAGGGGGCGAGCGUUGUUCGGAAUUAUUGGGCGUAAAGAGCGCGUAGGCGGCUUGUCAAG
This 473-nucleotide ribosomal RNA is filed under the name uncultured Magnetococcus sp. Its description in RNAcentral is "bacterial SSU rRNA". It matches the Rfam family "Bacterial small subunit ribosomal RNA", at positions 79 to 587 of the family's 1533-position model. Lineage: Bacteria; Pseudomonadati; Pseudomonadota; Magnetococcia; Magnetococcales; Magnetococcaceae. The record is from RNAcentral.